UACAGAGGUGGCAAGCGUUGUUCGGAAUUACUGGGCGUAAAGGGCGCGUAGGCGGCCUUCUAAGUCAGACGUGAAAUCCCCCGGCUUAACCUGGGAACUGCGUCUGAUACUGGGAGGCUAGAGUGUGGGAGAGGGAUGCGGAAUUCCAGGUGUAGCGGUGAAAUGCGUAGAUAUCUGGAGGAACACCGAUGGCGAAGGCAGGUCACUGGGCCGCAACUGACGCUGAGGAGCGAAAGCAUGGGGAGCGAACAGG
This 253-nucleotide ribosomal RNA is filed under the name uncultured bacterium. RNAcentral's name for it is "partial 16S ribosomal RNA". It matches the Rfam family "Bacterial small subunit ribosomal RNA", at positions 524 to 776 of the family's 1533-position model. The record is from RNAcentral.